GCAGCAUACAAACAUGGAGGCCAGAUCACCUGGCGUCUUACGGCUCAACAGGGCAGAUUAAAGAAUUCUAAUCACAGAAGUGAUGUAGUCCACUGUGUGAUUUCAUAAAAGCACCUUGAAGGCUGUGUGAAGAAUGGAUUGAAUGGAGAGAGCUAGGAAGCAGGGAAAUCAGGAGGCUCUUGCAGCAACCCAGGUGUACAACACGGUGAUUCAACAUCUCUACACGUGAUGCUGUGCUCCCCACCCGUGUGGCACUGUCUGUCCCCACACAACCCUAUUACGGCAAUUAUCUGGGUAACAAAUGCAGGAGAGAGGUCCCAGACUGUCUAGAAGCCAAGAAACCAGAAAUGAUUCCAGCAAGAGCAAGUCGCUGAACCCUAGACAAUGUAGCAGAG
This is a long non-coding RNA of Ailuropoda melanoleuca (giant panda), 395 nucleotides long. RefSeq lists it as uncharacterized. NCBI's taxonomy places the organism in Eukaryota, Metazoa, Chordata, Mammalia, Carnivora, Ursidae. The transcript is spliced from 3 exons. The record is from RefSeq and is a predicted model, not a curated record.